GACGAACGCUGGCGGCGUGCUUAACACAUGCAAGUCGAACGGUAAGGCCCUUCGGGGUACACGAGUGGCGAACGGGUGAGUAACACGUGGGUGAUCUGCCCUGCACUUCGGGAUAAGCCUGGGAAACUGGGUCUAAUACCGGAUAGGACUCCUGGCUUCAUGGUUGGGGGUGGAAAGCUUUUGCGGUGUGGGAUGGGCCCGCGGCCUAUCAGCUUGUUGGUGGGGUAAUGGCCUACCAAGGCGACGACGGGUAGCCGGCCUGAGAGGGUGACCGGUCACACUGGGACUGAGAUACGGACCAGACUCCUACGGGAGGCAGUAGUGGGGAAUAUUGCACAAUGGGCGCAAGCCUGAUGCAGCGACGCCGCGUGAGGGAUGACGGCCUUCGGGUUGUAAACCUCUUUCAGCUAUGACGAAGCGCAAGUGACGGUAGUAGCAGAAGAAGGACCGGCCAACUACGUGCCAGCCGCCGCGGUAA
This 478-nucleotide ribosomal RNA is filed under the name uncultured bacterium. Its description in RNAcentral is "partial 16S ribosomal RNA". It matches the Rfam family "Bacterial small subunit ribosomal RNA", at positions 28 to 523 of the family's 1533-position model. The record is from RNAcentral.